Molecule: long non-coding RNA, 1467 nt
Filed under: Chrysolophus pictus (golden pheasant)
Lineage: Eukaryota; Metazoa; Chordata; Aves; Galliformes; Phasianidae
Description: lncRNA (ENSCPIG00010007901.1)
Source: RNAcentral
UGGUUGGGGGGCUGGGCGGAGCCGAGCGGUGAUGGCGCCUCAGGCGGUGCCGGGGCGUGAGGGCGGCGUUCCCGAGAGCUGUGGUGGGCGGCAGCGGUGCUUGAGCUGGCCUGGCCUGGGAGCUGCGGCUGUUUUACUCACGGGACGAAAUAAAGUCUGCCGUGGGUGAAGCACUGUAGCACCCCGUGCCCUGAUGCCCUUCCUUGGGCAGCUGCGCACAGCGGCUGACUUGAAUCGGUUCUCAUAACGGGGCUUCCCUUGGUGCCGUCUGCAGGUUUUCACUGCAGUCCGCAUAGAUCUACGCCAGUAGCAAAUUUACUUGCUAAGGGCUAUAUUUAGAGGUGUUUAUUUGGAGGGUGAAGAAGCCUGCUGCUUAUGCCUCAUUAUGCAGAGCUUAACCUUGAGCUUUAAAGUGCGGGCAUUGGGACAGUGCAGGUGUUUGAUGGCAGUGUCUCUGCUCUGUGGGAGCUGCAGGGCAAAGUGCCAGGUGACUCAGUGGCAAAGCAGUCUUUUCACUCGGAAAAGCGACGCUCUGUGCAGAAGUGUUCUGGAAGAGAUAUUUUACAGAUUGGCAUGGCUGUGGCGGGAGGAUUGGAGAGCACUUUCACUGUAGCUCUGCCUAAAACAAGUCAACCGAGCACUAUUCUGGGGAGUGGGACAUCCAGAUUUAAUCCCCACAAACUGCUAGAAGUAAGAACAUGGUUGUUUGCAGCAGGGUUAUCCAGCUAGCGAACAUCAGCUCCUUCAUGGUAAGUCUGGUCUGUAUACUUCUGCUGCAGAUAUGAGGACAAGCUACCUCAGAUUCCUUUGCACUUCCCACAGAGAACACCAUGCAUGAAGGCAGCUACUGCAGAACAGCUGACAUCCAGUAGCUUCUUACCUUGUCACCGCCAUCUGUUCUCUUCAUUUUAAGUAACAACCACACAGUGAGCCAGCUCAGGGAGCUAAUUCAGCUGAAAACCAGUAAUUUUUUCUUUCUUUCUUUUUUUUUUUUUAAAAUCAAGACAGCCUCAGUCACACUCUUGGAAUAAUUGAAUUCAUGGCUGCACAAGCACAGCUGCUGCAGCAGGGGAAGGAUGAGCUGCAGGUUCUGGGGACAGAAUGUCAGGAAAUGACAUUUUAAAUGACAAAAUAUCUCAAAGCAAACAGUAAAAGGAGGCAUUAGCAUGUAAUCUAAUUAUGAUCUUGUAUCUGUGUUUGACUUUUCUAAGUGAUAAAAGGAAAUCUUGAUUCAUCAGAACUGAAUGCUGUUCCAGAGAUACCACCUACUAAAAGUACCAAAAUCUUGGCUUCAUAAAGCAUUCUGAUAUUUAUUAAAGCAGCACCAGCUGUUCACUAGCUGACAGGUAAACAUGUAACACUUCACUUCUUAAGAAGAUGCUUUGCUAUGUCGUGUCAGAUAGGCAUUAAAUACUGAUUCAUUACGGAGAGGUUACUCCUGUGUGCUUUCCCUGAGGCUGGGGCCUG